Molecule: long non-coding RNA, 479 nt
Organism: Dunckerocampus dactyliophorus (ringed pipefish)
Lineage: Eukaryota; Metazoa; Chordata; Actinopteri; Syngnathiformes; Syngnathidae
Exons: 3
Source: RefSeq, a predicted model, not a curated record
UUGGGUAAUCAAACUAUGGUCACCCGAGGCGAACACCCAAUGGAAAACUUUAGCUUGCCGUGAUAGUGAUACUGUGCGGUGCCUCUCAGGUUACUGUUAUCAGGAAUGCUGUGUCAUUGGCUUCAGUGCGCUCACAUCAUAGGAACAACAGGGCUGCAGUGCAAAAUUGAACUGGUAAAGGGUGGGGGGGAAAAGCAACAGAGGCACCAUGUUGUGACUAAUCAUCUCUGUGGUGAGAAACACCGCAGAGUUGAUCUCUUCUUGCUGCUGCACGAGGGAGCUGAAGCCUGCAGCUGCAGCACCGGGAUGAUUCAACCGGAGUAAAGGACAACAAGUGUGGACGGUCUCAAAGGACAAAACCACACUUGUCUCCUAAUUCUUCGACGACUACAACCAGUGUUUGUUCCAAUGAUGACUUUUCCGGAAACUUCUUCUCAGGAAGUCGGAUCAUGUCUGACAACUGACAAACACUUUUCACU